Molecule: non-coding RNA, 27 nt
Filed under: Homo sapiens (human)
Lineage: Eukaryota; Metazoa; Chordata; Mammalia; Primates; Hominidae
Source: RNAcentral
UUGCCACAAAGACGGCUGGAAAAGAGA